CCUAUCAUCCCUAGUAGCGGCGAGCGAGCGGGAAGAGCUCAAAUUUAUAAUCUGGCACCUUCGGUGUCCGAGUUGUAAUCUCUAGAAAUGUUUUCCGCGUUGGACCGCACACAAGUCUGUUGGAAUACAGCGGCAUAGUGGUGAGACCCCCGUAUAUGGUGCGGACGCCCAGCGCUUUGUGAUACAUUUUCGAAGAGUCGAGUUGUUUGGGAAUGCAGCUCAAAUUGGGUGGUAAAUUCCAUCUAAAGCUAAAUAUUGGCGAGAGACCGAUAGCGAACAAGUACCGUGAGGGAAAGAUGAAAAGCACUUUGGAAAGAGAGUUAACAGUACGUGAAAUUGUUGGAAGGGAAACGCUUGAAGUCAGACUUGCUUGCCGAGCAAUCGGUUUGCAGGCCAGCAUCAGUUUUCCGGGAUGGAUAAUGGUAGAGAGAAGGUAGCAGUUUCGGCUGUGUUAUAGCUCUCUGCUGGAUACAUCUUGGGGGACUGAGGAACGCAGUGUGCCUUUGGCGGGGGUUUCGACCUCUUCACACUUAGGAUGCUGGUGGAAUGGCUUUAAACGACCCGUCAAAAACCACCGGA
RNAcentral lists this ribosomal RNA (579 nucleotides) under Rhodotorula mucilaginosa. RNAcentral describes it as "eukaryotic LSU rRNA". It matches the Rfam family "Eukaryotic large subunit ribosomal RNA", at positions 68 to 665 of the family's 3401-position model. The record is from RNAcentral. Lineage: Eukaryota; Fungi; Basidiomycota; Microbotryomycetes; Sporidiobolales; Sporidiobolaceae.